AUUGAACGCUGGCGGCAUGCUUUACACAUGCAAGUCGAACGGCAGCGCGGGCUUCGGCCUGGCGGCGAGUGGCGAACGGGUGAGUAAUGCAUCGGAACGUGCCCAGUAGUGGGGGAUAGCCCGGCGAAAGCCGGAUUAAUACCGCAUACGACCUGCGGCUGAAAGCGGGGGACCGAAAGGCCUCGCGCUAUUGGAGCGGCCGAUGUCGGAUUAGCUAGUUGGUGGGGUAAAGGCUUACCAAGGCGACGAUCCGUAGCUGGUCUGAGAGGACGACCAGCCACACUGGGACUGAGACACGGCCCAGACUCCUACGGGAGGCAGCAGUGGGGAAUUUUGGACAAUGGGGGCAACCCUGAUCCAGCCAUGCCGCGUGCGGGAAGAAGGCCUUCGGGUUGUAAACCGCUUUUGUUCGGGAAGAAAUCCUCUGGGCUAAUACCCCGGGGGGAUGACGGUACCGGAAGAAUAAGCACCGGCUAACUACGUG
Molecule: ribosomal RNA, 484 nt
Filed under: uncultured bacterium
Lineage: Bacteria
Description: partial 16S ribosomal RNA
Rfam family: Bacterial small subunit ribosomal RNA
Source: RNAcentral